Zingiber officinale is the source of this 442-nucleotide long non-coding RNA. RefSeq lists it as uncharacterized. The record is from RefSeq and is a predicted model, not a curated record. Lineage: Eukaryota; Viridiplantae; Streptophyta; Magnoliopsida; Zingiberales; Zingiberaceae. The transcript has 3 exons.
CAAUUUACAAUGCUGGCCAGUUUCCAUGUAAUCGAUACACACACUACAUGACUACCUCCACCAGCAUUGAUCUUAAUCUUGAUAGGAAAGAAAUGGUCAUCCUUGGCACACAAUAUGCCGGGGAGAUGAAGAAGGUUUGUUCGGUGUGAUGCACUAUCUAAUGCCUAAAAGAAACAUUCUCUCCCUGCACUCUAGCAACAAUAUGGGCAAAGAUGGUGAUGUUGCCCUCUUCUUUGGACUAUCAGUACUGUUAUCCAGGUAUAUGGCUAACAAAUUUGACAAGGGCAAGGUAUGAAGUGAGGGAGAAGACAUGCACGAGGAAGAAGAAGAAGAGGCGAAGAGGGUUGAAGGGAAUGGAGAGUAUGGACUCGGAUUCAAAGUGAAGGGGAAUAAGAAGGGACAAUUUCGUUUGUUUUUUUCUCCCUUUUUUCUUUGAUGUAGU